This 72-nucleotide transfer RNA is filed under the name Ictidomys tridecemlineatus (thirteen-lined ground squirrel). RNAcentral's name for it is "Spermophilus tridecemlineatus (thirteen-lined ground squirrel) tRNA". It matches the Rfam family "tRNA". Rfam says of the family: Transfer RNA (tRNA) molecules are approximately 80 nucleotides in length. Their secondary structure includes four short double-helical elements and three loops (D, anti-codon, and T loops). Lineage: Eukaryota; Metazoa; Chordata; Mammalia; Rodentia; Sciuridae. The record is from Rfam by way of RNAcentral.
UGUGCUGUGGCUCAGACGGAGAGCGCUCACCUAGCAUGCGUGAGACACUGAGUUCAAUCCUCAGCACCACAU